UACGUAGGGGGCAAGCGUUGUCCGGAAUCACUGGGCGUAAAGCGUGCGUAGGCGGUCAAGUAAGUCUGGAGUGAAAGUCCAGGGCUCAACCCUGGGAAUGCUUUGGAAACUGUUUGACUUGAGUGCUGGAGAGGCAAGGGGAAUUCCACGUGUAGCGGUGAAAUGCGUAGAUAUGUGGAGGAAUACCAGUGGCGAAGGCGCCUUGCUGGACAGUGACUGACGCUGAGGCACGAAAGCGUGGGGAGCAAACAGG
Molecule: ribosomal RNA, 253 nt
Filed under: uncultured Alicyclobacillus sp.
Lineage: Bacteria; Bacillati; Bacillota; Bacilli; Caryophanales; Alicyclobacillaceae
Description: partial 16S ribosomal RNA
Rfam family: Bacterial small subunit ribosomal RNA
Source: RNAcentral